This 92-nucleotide transfer RNA is filed under the name Felis catus (domestic cat). The record is from Rfam by way of RNAcentral. Lineage: Eukaryota; Metazoa; Chordata; Mammalia; Carnivora; Felidae.
GCCUGGAUGGCUCAGUUGGUUGAGCGUCUGACUUCGACUCAGGUCAUAAUCUCACGGUCCGUGUAUUUGAGCCCUGCGUUGGCCUCUGGGCU